Molecule: long non-coding RNA, 2425 nt
Filed under: Canis lupus familiaris (dog)
Lineage: Eukaryota; Metazoa; Chordata; Mammalia; Carnivora; Canidae
Description: lncRNA (ENSCAFG00030008093.1)
Source: RNAcentral
AUGCAUGUCCCUACGCCCUCCUCUCUGCUCUACAGUUGCAGGCUUGAGGAAGGGAAGCUGUGGAAAAUCACAGAAGUGGAGAGAAGAGGCAGCCCCACCAGCCAGGAUGGAGAGAGCAAGGCAGGCACGGCUGCUCCACAGAGAAGUAAGCCAGUGCGUCUUCACGCUGAUGGAAGUACCGCCAGAGUUCCCUGGGAUAGGAACUCCCGUCCCAGCUCCAAUCCUGCAGCAUCUGAUCCAGGGGCCACGUCUCUAGGCUAUGGAACCUCCUGGAAGCAAAGCACUCUGUCCAGCACCUUGAUGGUGGUCUCCUCAUCAGAACCAGCUCCAGGCAGGAGGACAAGGUGAAGGAAGAGCCUAUCCACACUGCCUAGUCUACACCCCAUCUCCUGGGAGUCCCAGCCUGGCCUCCAGGAAGCCAAAGCUCUCUCCAGAGUUUUACCUUGCCAGCCACACUGAGAGGAACGAAAGAAGGGGAAGUAAGAGAACAAAGAAAUAGCCACUUCAAUCUUCCUAAAGUUGCAACUCAAGCCCACGCUCCCACACAUACACACUCACACAGUGGUCCCAUCUCUUAUGGUCUCUAGGACUCUACUUUGUCCUUGACCUGUUUUCAGAAUGCUGCUUCCUUGAACAUGGGGUUGAGUAGGAAGAAGGAAGGGAAGGGAAAUAAGAGAAUUUCCAACCACCUGGUUUGGGAUUGCCUUAGAGAGCUAUUCUGGUGGUACAGGCCCCUGCACACACACACAGACACGUGUAGCCACCAGUGUCUGUGUUUAGGAGAACGCUAAAAGCACUUUGUAUUCUUUUAGGCCAGUGAUUCUGGUCUCUCCCUCCCCAAGGGGAUGUUUGCAAUAUCUGGAGACAUUUUUUGCUGUCCCAGCUGGAGCCAAGCAUGCUACCAGCAUGUGGUGUAGAGAGGUCAGGCAUCCCAAGUGUCCUAGAGCACACAGCCCAACCCCCGCCCCACAGCAGAGACUUCUCUGACCUCAAUGUCAAAUGUGCCAUAGUUGAGGAACCCCGAGAUUUAGGGAAAGAACUCCUUUAGCACUGGUGAGGGGUCAGGGAGACCUAAAGGCACAAGAGGUAGAAUGAAAGAGUGAGAGGGUCUCAAAGUGUGGUAGGCGAGCGAGAGAAAGCAGCCUGCCAUUGAAGACACAAUCCCCACUCGUGUGUUGGAGAGAUGUUUUUGCUCUGUUACUGCCAUAGAGGGAAGACACAGAUUGCCAGGAUGACGAAGGAAGGGGGUAGAAUGUAAGCCUCUGGGUGUCUGCGGGCAGAGGCCAGGUAGAGCCAGGACCACACUGAUCCCUGGUAGUUUCUUCCUAUUUGUUCUUUUACCAGUUCAGCCUUCUUCUAGGCUCUUUUCAAUAUGCUGGGGAAAGCCCUCCUGUUGUCCUCAUUUUGCAGGCAGGAAAUCUAAGGCACAGAGAGGUUGAGUAAGUAGCCCACGGCCACACAGCUGGUAAGAUGCAGAGGCAGGAUUCAAACCAGGUCCAUCUGAUUUGAUGGGUGCUGACCUGACACUUGACCACCAGACUAUGAUGCAGUUCAGUGUGGCAAUCUCAGUUCAUGGAGGCUGACGCCUUCAGAUUAUUAAAGCCAAGAAAAGCAGAUGUUUGAAUCCACUGAGCAUCUCCCCUACAACAUAGCACGAACCCUUGGCUUGGGCCAGGGAGGGCACGACAAGUGGCCAAGCCCUCACAGAUUGCCUUUCACCCCCUUGGCCUCACUGGAAAGCCCAGGCACCACACUAUACCUGCCAGAGAGGACACCAGUUUGAAGGCACAGGAAGGCAAGCUCGUUCCCAAGGACUCUCUCAGUAGUUUUAAGGAAUAAUUGAAACUCGUAGUUGACCCCAACCCUGCAGAGCUGGCACAGGAGGAACACAAGCAUUUUAUAAACGCUCUUGCAGGAGGGGAGGUGAGCUCACUUCCUGAGGGAAUGCUGCAGGGGGUGUCUGCGGGGGCCAGCCAGGCCUGGCUUUCAAACAUCUGAACCGGCCCACAGUGUAAUAGGGCAUGAAUAUUGAUUCAAAUAAAUUAUGCAUGUUUAUACACUCAUUUAUUAUUUUAUUCACACGCUCACUCUGUGUCGUUUGCCUGGGUAACUGCCACGGGGCCAGUCGGCUCUUGGAUGCUGUAAAAAAAUAAGUUGCUUUGAAAUAUUUGGUGACCAAAGGGAAAUCCAAGUCAUUAGUGAAAAUUAUAACCAAAAUGACAGCAAAUUUCUAUCAUCUGGAAGGGCCUUGGCAAGUCCAAGUCAUCGGGGUCAGAUGUUGCCCUGUUCCUCAGGCUUCCAUGACACCAUAGAAGAGCGAAUAUGGAAGGCUCCAGAGCAUUCUAGCAAUUAUCAUUUUAACAAAUAGGGCUCUUUUCUAAUAUUCACAUUCCUUUCGCAUGGCCUCAUGAAAACACAAACAUUC